AGCCCAGAGCCUGAAUCAGUGUGUGUGUUAGUGGAAGCGUCUGGAAAGGCGCGCGAUACAGGGUGACAGCCCCGUACACAAAAAUACACAUAUUGUGAGCUCGAUGAGUAGGGCGGGACACGUGGUAUCCUGUCUGAAUAUGGGGGGACCAUCCUCCAAGGCUAAAUACUCCUGACUGACCGAUAGUGAACCAGUACCGUGAGGGAAAGGCGAAAAGAACCCCGGCGAGGGGAGUGAAAAAGAACCUGAAACCGUGUACGUACAAGCAGUGGGAGCACGCUUAGGCGUGUGACUGCGUACCUUUUGUAUAAUGGGUCAGCGACUUAUAUUCUGUAGCAAGGUUAACCGAAUAGGGGAGCCGAAGGGAAACCGAGUCUUAACUGGGCGUUAAGUUGCAGGGUAUAGACCCGAAACCCGGUGAUCUAGCCAUGGGCAGGUUGAAGGUUGGGUAACACUAACUGGAGGACCGAACCGACUAAUGUUGAAAAAUUAGCGGAUGACUUGUGGCUGGGGGUGAAAGGCCAAUCAAACCGGGAGAUAGCUGGUUCUCCCCGAAAGCUAUUUAGGUAGCGCCUCGUGAAUUCAUCUCCGGGGGUAGAGCACUGUUUCGGCAAGGGGGUCAUCCCGACUUACCAACCCGAUGCAAACUGCGAAUACCGGAGAAUGUUAUCACGGGAGACACACGGCGGGUGCUAACGUCCGUCGUGAAGAGGGAAACAACCCAGACCGCCAGCUAAGGUCCCAAAGUCAUGGUUAAGUGGGAAACGAUGUGGGAAGGCCCAGACAGCCAGGAUGUUGGCUUAGAAGCAGCCAUCAUUUAAAGAAAGCGUAAUAGCUCACUGGUCGAGUCGGCCUGCGCGGAAGAUGUAACGGGGCUAAACCAUGCACCGAAGCUGCGGCAGCGACGCUUAUGCGUUGUUGGGUAGGGGAGCGUUCUGUAAGCCUGUGAAGGUGUGCUGUGAGGCAUGCUGGAGGUAUCAGAAGUGCGAAUGCUGACAUAAGUAACGAUAAAGCGGGUGAAAAGCCCGCUCGCCGGAAGACCAAGGGUUCCUGUCCAACGUUAAUCGGGGCAGGGUGAGUCGACCCCUAAGGCGAGGCCGAAAGGCGUAGUCGAUGGGAAACAGGUUAAUAUUCCUGUACUUGGUGUUACUGCGAAGGGGGGACGGAGAAGGCUAUGUUGGCCGGGCGACGGUUGUCCCGGUUUAAGCGUGUAGGCUGGUUUUCCAGGCAAAUCCGGAAAAUCAAGGCUGAGGCGUGAUGACGAGGCACUACGGUGCUGAAGCAACAAAUGCCCUGCUUCCAGGAAAAGCCUCUAAGCAUCAGGUAACAUCAAAUCGUACCCCAAACCGACACAGGUGGUCAGGUAGAGAAUACCAAGGCGCUUGAGAGAACUCGGGUGAAGGAACUAGGCAAAAUGGUGCCGUAACUUCGGGAGAAGGCACGCUGAUAUGUAGGUGAAGCGACUUGCUCGUGGAGCUGAAAUCAGUCGAAGAUACCAGCUGGCUGCAACUGUUUAUUAAAAACACAGCACUGUGCAAACACGAAAGUGGACGUAUACGGUGUGACGCCUGCCCGGUGCCGGAAGGUUAAUUGAUGGGGUCAGCGCAAGCGAAGCUCUUGAUCGAAGCCCCGGUAAACGGCGGCCGUAACUAUAACGGUCCUAAGGUAGCGAAAUUCCUUGUCGGGUAAGUUCCGACCUGCACGAAUGGCGUAAUGAUGGCCAGGCUGUCUCCACCCGAGACUCAGUGAAAUUGAACUCGCUGUGAAGAUGCAGUGUACCCGCGGCAAGACGGAAAGACCCCGUGAACCUUUACUAUAGCUUGACACUGAACAUUGAGCCUUGAUGUGUAGGAUAGGUGGGAGGCUUGGAAGUGUGGACGCCAGUCUGCAUGGAGCCGACCUUGAAAUACCACCCUUUAAUGUUUGAUGUUCUAACGUUGACCCGUAAUCCGGGUUGCGGACAGUGUCUGGUGGGUAGUUUGACUGGGGCGGUCUCCUCCUAAAGAGUAACGGAGGAGCACGAAGGUUGGCUAAUCCUGGUCGGACAUCAGGAGGUUAGUGCAAUGGCAUAAGCCAGCUUGACUGCGAGCGUGACGGCGCGAGCAGGUGCGAAAGCAGGUCAUAGUGAUCCGGUGGUUCUGAAUGGAAGGGCCAUCGCUCAACGGAUAAAAGGUACUCCGGGGAUAACAGGCUGAUACCGCCCAAGAGUUCAUAUCGACGGCGGUGUUUGGCACCUCGAUGUCGGCUCAUCACAUCCUGGGGCUGAAGUAGGUCCCAAGGGUAUGGCUGUUCGCCAUUUAAAGUGGUACGCGAGCUGGGUUUAGAACGUCGUGAGACAGUUCGGUCCCUAUCUGCCGUGGGCGCUGGAGAACUGAGGGGGGCUGCUCCUAGUACGAGAGGACCGGAGUGGACGCAUCACUGGUGUUCGGGUUGUCAUGCCAAUGGCACUGCCCGGUAGCUAAAUGCGGAAGAGAUAAGUGCUGAAAGCAUCUAAGCACGAAACUUGCCCCGAGAUGAGUUCUCCCUGACUCCUUGAGAGUCCUGAAGGAACGUUGAAGACGACGACGUUGAUAGGCCGGGUGUGUAAGCGCAGCGAUGCGUUGAGCUAACCGGUACUAAUGAACCGUGAGGCUUAACCUUACAACGCCGAAG
This 2652-nucleotide ribosomal RNA is filed under the name Escherichia coli. RNAcentral's name for it is "partial 23S ribosomal RNA". It matches the Rfam family "Bacterial large subunit ribosomal RNA", at positions 296 to 2925 of the family's 2925-position model. The record is from RNAcentral. Lineage: Bacteria; Pseudomonadati; Pseudomonadota; Gammaproteobacteria; Enterobacterales; Enterobacteriaceae.